AGCUCUGUAAGCGUAUACCAAAGUUGUUGCAGUUAAAACGCUCGUAGUCGAAAUUUGGCGGGCGACGUGAGUCGUCUUUACCGACGAUCUCAUGUUGGCCGCCUUUGUGGAGGGGGGUCUAGUGGUGCUUGACCGCUUCGCUAGGUCGCUGCCACCGUUUACUGUGAAAAAAUUAGAGUGUUCAAAGCAGGCGUUUGCCGUGAAUACAUUAGCAUGGAAUAAUAGAAUAGGACCUGGUUCCUAUUUUGUUGGUUUGUUAGGAUCGGGUAAUGAUUAAGAGGGAUGGUUGGGGGCAUUUGUAUUCCAGCGUCAGAGGUGAAAUUCUUGGAUUGUUGGAAGACAAACAGCUGCGAAAGCGUCUGCCAAGGACAUUUUCA
This 377-nucleotide ribosomal RNA is filed under the name uncultured eukaryote. Its description in RNAcentral is "SSU rRNA". It matches the Rfam family "Eukaryotic small subunit ribosomal RNA", at positions 587 to 972 of the family's 1831-position model. The record is from RNAcentral.